AGAUUGAACGCUGGCGGUAGGCCUAACACAUGCAAGUCGAACGGCAGCACAGUGGUAGCAAUACCAUGGGUGGCGAGUGGCGGACGGGUGAGGAAUACAUCGGAAUCUACCUUUUCGUGGGGGAUAACGUAGGGAAACUUACGCUAAUACCGCAUACGCCCUUCGGGGGAAAGCCGGGGAUCGCAAGACCUGGCGCGGAUAGAUGAGCCGAUGUCGGAUUAGCUAGUUGGUGAGGUAAUGGCUCACCAAGGCGACGAUCCGUAGCUGGUCUGAGAGGAUGAUCAGCCACACUGGAACUGAGACACGGUCCAGACUCCUACGGGAGGCAGCAGUGGGAAUAUUGGACAAUGGGCGCAAGCCUAGAUCCAGCCAUACCCGCGUGGGUGAAGAAGGCCUUUCGGGUUAGUAAACGCCCGUUCGUUAGUUAGGAAAGAAAAGCGAAGUUACGGUUAAUACCCGGUUAGUUCGUGAACCGGUACCC
Molecule: ribosomal RNA, 481 nt
Filed under: uncultured soil bacterium
Lineage: Bacteria
Description: bacterial SSU rRNA
Rfam family: Bacterial small subunit ribosomal RNA
Source: RNAcentral